GGACUACACGGGUUUCUAAUCCUGUUUGCUCCCCACGCUUUCGCGCCUCAGCGUCAGUCUCGGUCCAGAGCGCCGCCUUCGCCACCGGUGUUCUUCCCAAUAUCUACGAAUUUCACCUCUACACUGGGAAUUCCACGCUCCUCUCCCGAUCUCUAGUCCCGCCGUUUCGAGCGCCAUUCCCAGGUUGAGCCCGGGGCUUUCACACUCGACAAACAGGACCGCCUACGCGCCCUUUACGCCCAGUAAAUCCGAACAACGCUCGCCCCCUUCGUAUUACCGCGGCUGCUGGCAC
Molecule: ribosomal RNA, 292 nt
Filed under: uncultured Alphaproteobacteria bacterium
Lineage: Bacteria; Pseudomonadati; Pseudomonadota; Alphaproteobacteria
Description: partial 16S ribosomal RNA
Source: RNAcentral